GUCGUGGAUUCGGCGUGAUUGACUGCGGUUUGUGGAUUCGGAUCGUGAGCUUCGUGGAUUCGGAGUGGAGGCGUUUCGUGGAUUCGGAACGUGGCGUUCGUGGAUUCGAACGUGAGGGCGUGGACAACCCGGAGGAUUGCACGAGAUUCGUAAGAGGUUAAGAGAGGUCGAGUCCGUGGAGUCGGUAAUCACCUUGUAAUCUUUUUUCUUAGUGAAUU
This 218-nucleotide long non-coding RNA is filed under the name Ananas comosus (pineapple). RNAcentral's name for it is "long non-coding RNA (ACOM_LNC013464)". The record is from RNAcentral. Lineage: Eukaryota; Viridiplantae; Streptophyta; Magnoliopsida; Poales; Bromeliaceae.